UGAGUAACCUGCCCUUAACUCUGGGAUAAGCCUGGGAAACUGGGUCUAAUACCGGAUAUGACUCCUCAUCGCAUGGUGGGGGGUUGGAAAGCUUUUUGUGGUUUUGGAUGGACUCGCGGCCUAUCAGCUUGUUGGUGAGGUAAUGGCUCACCAAGGCGACGACGGGUAGCCGGCCUGAGAGGGUGACCGGCCACACUGGGACUGAGACACGGCCCAGACUCCUACGGGAGGCAG
This 234-nucleotide ribosomal RNA is filed under the name uncultured bacterium. Its description in RNAcentral is "partial 16S ribosomal RNA". It matches the Rfam family "Bacterial small subunit ribosomal RNA", at positions 118 to 351 of the family's 1533-position model. The record is from RNAcentral.